Molecule: long non-coding RNA, 2836 nt
Organism: Protopterus annectens (West African lungfish)
Lineage: Eukaryota; Metazoa; Chordata; Ceratodontiformes; Protopteridae
Exons: 2
Source: RefSeq, a predicted model, not a curated record
GAGGGAAUGAUGCUUGGACCACCUACCCAGGGACAAAAGAAUGCUGACUUUUUUUGUACAUCUUUAAAGUGGGGAUGAUGGAUAUAAACGUUGUUGAUGCUUAUCGGAUGGCAUGCUUCUUCACUACGUCGGUGUCUUUUUUAAUUGCCAAAGGAGAUGGUCUUGAGAAAAUAAAGUAGUGCUGAAGAUAAGUUAUGGAUACCACUGCUGCUGCCUUCUAAACUGAUGUAGUUUUAAUAAGUACGUGAACAAUAAACAUAAACGUGGAUUCUCGCUGGUGUAUGCACGAACGUGCCCUCUCCCGAACCCAGGGAAAUACUAACAGCCAUACCAGCCAUUUAGGUUAUUUUAUAAGUUUGGAGCCUCAUUUGGUGAACCUUAACCUUGCUGGAUCUAUGGCAACCAAAGAAAGUUGUACACCUGCUUUAAGGAAAAUAACUUUGAAGUAAACGAAUUUAACCGGAAUAAAUGGAAGUGAAAACAUAUGACAGUAGAUCUCAUGGCUGUUUAAAUUAGAGCACGAUGACUUCGUGUAUGCACCUUCAGUAGGCAAAACUAAUAUGUUCCGAUUUUCGGUGAAUGGUUUAUGUUUAAAAUAAAUGCUUUGCAGAAUGACCGAAAAGCUGUUACAAGGGAUAUAAAGGAUAUAAAGAAUAACCCAACUACAAUGAAAAGUUUAUUUUUGCAGCAUGUUUCCUGCAGUUUUUCUGGUGCAGCCCAUGGUAAGUAUAAGGAAGAAACCUGGAAAUUUUAAAAUCAAAAUGGUAAUUCCUGCUGGGAAUGAUGGAGACAGAGGAAAUCAGGAAAAGGAGAGCACAGAGGAAAGCAUCCUAGCAAUGCUUGGGAUAAUAGGAACCAUUUUAAAUUUGUUGGUAAUAAUAUUUGUGUAUAUUUACACCACGUUAUAAAACACUCUGCAGAUAAGCAUGAAAUGAAUUGCUCCUUAGCAGUGUGUAAAAGCCAUACUGACACUCUUUAUUAAACUGACUCUGGGCAAUAGCAUUGUAGCUCGUUUCCUGGGGCCAUGAAUCACACAAGAACAAGGAGAAAUACAGCCAUUCUGUCAUACCUAAUACUGACUGCACUGCUAAUGGCAUGUCUCAUUGUUUUUAAACUGUGUUUUCAGCUGCAGGGUUGCAUAGAAAAGGACCAUCACUUUAUAUGCUCUGCAUUCAUUCGUGCGGAACUCAGUAGUAUGGCAAACAAACAAAUGAAAGACAGUGUGUUAAACAGAAAAAAACAGCAGUAUGUCAAAGCACAUUUGAUUUUAGACACUAUUUUAUAUGCGCACUUGCAAAGACAACCCAAGUGGCUCAAACAUAUUAGCCAACAUUUCACUUCAGUGAUGUUUUAUAUAAUCUAAAUCUAUCAUCUUCAAGGCAAUGAUAUAAAUACAUUAUCUUUUGUUGCAGAAUUUAUAAAAGCAUGUUCUCUGCUUUACUUACAGUCAAUAUAAUUUUUAAACAGAGAAAAAGCUUUCAGUAUUACUUUUAUGAUUAAUAUUUGAUUGUACUUGUAAGGUUUGUCUGUAUAUGGUUUUCGUAUUUUAAUACAUCUAGUGCUCAGAUAUGAGUCUCUGUUAAAACAAAUCUCAUGUUUCUAACACCAAACAAGAAGCUAUCAUGAGGAUUCAAGAUUUCACAUGAUUAAGAAAUGUUACUUGCAUAUUUCCAGUUCUAAACUAUUUAGUUCUGAGAAAAGAUAAACCAUGUUUGCACAAUUAACGUUUACAAAGCUGUUUACAGUAUAGUUUUUAACAUAACAUCCAUAUGCAACAUCAUCACUAUAUGAAACUACAAAUGGUUCUGCCAUAAUAAGGCAUGCAUAAUGAAUAACCUGCUUUAAAGCUUGGUUUGAUUUGGAAAUUAAUUAAUGCUACAGGUGCAUCUUGGGGCACACGAUAAGUGUUACCUGUUAAAGAAGUUAACUGCUUAUCAGUCUACGUAUAGAGUUAAAAAACUAUAAAAGUGAUAACAUUACAGUAUUAUCAGCAUAUUGUUCAUAACAGUUUAUUUUUAUCAACUCAGUAGGUCAAAUUGCACAGUACAGUGUAUUGAUUUUAUAGUAGUCUAUGUAAGAAAUGCAUAGUGAUAUUGGUUUUGCAAUUGUGUUACGAUGCAAUAAUUAUAGUAUUGCAAGCUUUAUGUCAGGUUGUACAACUUAAGACAUCACUUCUAGGAACAUAUGAAUUGUACACUUUCUUUUAAAUGUGCCAAGCACUGCUGUUAAGUAUCACAGAAGUUCGUUUAAGGAACCAUGUUAUAUUUCAUUUUGAAGAAAUGCAUCACGUCAUUUUUCUCUGCAUGUUAAUAGAUAAAUAACAGCAUUUGCAUGUUAACUGCAUUCAGUUUUAUGGAGUUCUGUAACUUCAAAUACAAAACAGUUAAAAAAUGUCAGUAAAAAGGACAAAUGUAAAAUGCUAAGCAAUCACAAAUACAUAAACACUGUAUAAUAUAUUUUACAAUAAUAUUCUCUCUGUAUGCAUGGGAGUGAAUCCAGGAUCCAGGAUUCUCUCUGUGUUCUCUUAAUGAGUCCAGAACUGCAUUUUGGCAUAUCAUUUACAUAAACAGUACUAUGCCAUAUGGGUUUACACAUUUUUAAUUUUCUUGAGGAAAAGUAAAGACAAUGAAUGCAUAUUUAGUAAGCAGAGUGUUUGUAUCCCAGUCCUGUGUGUGGAGUCUUCAAUUGUUCAUUUUUAUUCUAAGCACUGCUUUUUAAUUAAACUUAAUUUACAUAUUACUUGCACUCAUAGACAUUUUAUUAAGUAUAUAGUGAAAAACAGCCAAUUUGUCAAAUAAAUCAUUCCUAAAAGUCAUGUCUUAUUGCCAGAAUGAUA